UAGCUGAUUGGGGGCUAGAUGAGAGUCUAGUCUGUAUUACAACAGUCAAUGCCGCGAACAUGGUGAACGCUGCAGCCCUGAACAAGUGGACCAGAUUGCAUAUGAAUAGUGAGCAAUACAUCCAAACUAUAUGAAUGCUUUAAUAAACAAGAAACUGAAACACAUAAUUAAAAAAAACUGUUACCUGGUUGAAUAUAUCACUGAAGUCUGAGAAGUGGUUGUUGUGGCAGACACUGUGGGUGUAGUGGCUGUGACUGUUGCUGGAACAGCUGUGGUUGCUGUGGGAGAACCUUUAGUUGUGGCAGCUUUUGUGUUGCUGGGAGUACCUGUAAUUGUUGAUACAGCAGCUUUUGAUGUGGUGGGACCAGAUGUGUUAGUCAUGUGAGCAGGUGAAGUUGUUGUUUUUGUAUAAACAAGACCUGUUGUGGAAACAGCUGGAUUUGUGGGGUGUGCUGCAGUUGUGGUGACAGCAGCUUUUUCUGUGGUGGGACCAGAUGUGUUAGUCAUGUGAGCAGGUGAAGUUGUUGUUUGUGUAAAAACAAGACCUGUUGUGGAAACAGCUGGAUUUGUGGGAUGUGCUGCAGUUGUUGUGACAGCAGCUUUUGCUGUGGUGGGACCAGAUGUGUUAGUCAUGUGAGCAGGUGAAAUUGUUGUUUUUGUUAAAACAAGACCUGUUGUGGAAACAGCUGGAUUUGUGGGAUGUGCUUCAGUUGUUGUGACAGCAGCUUUUGCUGUGGUGGGACCAGAUGUGUUAGUCAUGUGAGCAGGUGAAAUUGUUGUUUUUGUUAAAACAAGACCUGUUGUGGAAACAGCUGGAUUUGUGGGAUGUGCUGCAGUUGUUGUGACAGCAGCUUUUGCUGUGGUGGGACCAGAUGUGUUAGUCAUGUGAGCAGGUGAAGUUGUUGUUUUUGUUAAAACAAGACCUGUUGUGGAAACAGCUGGAUUUGUGGGGUGUGCUGCAGUUGUUGUGACAGCAGCUUUUGAUGGAGUAACAAAGGUAGACAUGUCUGAAGGUGAGGAUGAUGCAGCAGCAACUGUUUUUGUGGGAAUAACAACAUUUGUUGUGACAUCAGGCAAUGUUUUUGAUGCAACGUAUGUUGCUGUAGGAGUUGCUGAAAUUCUUCUGACUGUAGCUGUUGUUGUGGUGGGACCAGAAGUGGAGGUCAUGUCAGCAGGCGAGGUUGUUAUUAUUGUGAAAUCUGUUGUAACAAACGCUGAUGUUGUUGUAGCAGUUCUGGUCGUUGUGUGAGCAUAUAUGGUUGCUGUCGAAGAACCUGUUGUUGUGGUAGCUUUUGUGUUAGUGGGAGUUUCUGAAACUGCUGUGACAUCAAGUGAUGUAGUUGUUGGAACAGCUGGUGUUGUGGGGGUUUCUAAAACUGUUGUGACAGCAGCUCUUGAUGUUGUGGGACCAUAUAUGUUUUGUAUGUGAGCGGUUGAGUUUGUGGUGGCAGCAAAUGUGGUUGGUGUAUCAGAUUCUUUUGUUGUUGUUGGAGCUGUGGUGCUCGUUAUAGGAUGAGAUGUGGUUGCUGUUGGAGAGCCAGUUUUUGAGGUAGCUCCUGUGUUGAAGGGAGAAGUUGACAUUGAUGUGAGAUAAGGUGAUGUUGUUGUUGAAACCAAUGUUGUUAUGGGAGUGGUUUUAAUUGUUGUGACAGCAGCUGAUGUUAUUGUUGCGACAACUGGUGUUGUGGAGGUUUUUGAAUUUUUUGUGACAGCGGCUGUUGAUGCCGAGGAUCCAGAUGUGUUAUGAAUGUAAGAAGGUGAGCUUGUUGUGGCAGUAACAGUUGUUAUUCUUGCUGUUGUUGUUUUUGUUCCAGACUCUUUUGUUGUUGAUGUUGGAGCAGUUGUAGUUGUUGUGGAUACAGAUGUGAUUGCUGUGGAAGAACCUGUUUUUGUGAUAGCUCCUGUGUUGAUGGGGGUAGUUGACAUUGAUGUGAGAUCAGGUGAUGUUGUUUUUGGAACAGUUGGUGUUGUGGGGGUUGAUGAAAUUGUUGUGACAGCUGCUGUUGGUGUUGUGGGACCAGAUGUGGUAGAUAUGUUAGCAGGAGAGGUUGUUGUGGCAGCAACUGUUGUUGUUAGUCCAGACUCUGUUGUUGUGGGAGUAGCAGAAAUUGUUGUGACAUCAAGUGAUGUUGUUGUUCCAGCAGAUGUUGUUGUGUGAUUUGCUGAAAUUGUUGUGACAGCAGCUGAUGUGGUUAUGGGACCAGAUGUGGUAGUCAUAUCAGCAGGUGUGGUUGCUGUUUCUGUAAAAACUGUUGUUCCCAACGUUGUUGUUGUUGGUAGAGCUGUUGUGGUCAUUGAGGGAACAGAUGUGGUUUCUGUUGGAGAACCUGUUGUUGUGGUAGCCCCUGUGUUGAUGGGUGUAG
Molecule: long non-coding RNA, 2363 nt
Organism: Esox lucius (northern pike)
Lineage: Eukaryota; Metazoa; Chordata; Actinopteri; Esociformes; Esocidae
Source: Ensembl